GACGAACGCUGGCGGCGUGCCUAAUACAUGCAAGUUGAGCGCUGAAGGUUGGUACUUGUACCAACUGGAUGAGCAGCGAACGGGUGAGUAACGCGUGGGGAAUCUGCCUUUGAGCGGGGGACAACAUUUGGAAACGAAUGCUAAUACCGCAUAAAAACUUUAAACACAAGUUUUAAGCUUGAAAGAUGCAAUUGCAUCACUCAAAGAUGAUCCCGCGUUGUAUUAGCUAGUUGGUGAGGUAAAGGCUCACCAAGGCGUUGAUACCUAGCCGACCUGGAAGGGUAAUCGGCCACUUUGGGACUGAAACCCGGCCCAAACUCCUCCGGGAGGCAGCCGUAGGGGAUCUUCGGCGAUGGACGAAAGUCUGACCGUGCAACGCCGCGUGAGUGAAGAAGGUUUUCGGGUCGUAAAACUCUGUUGGUAGUGAAGAACGUUGGUGAGAGUGGAAAGCUCAUCAAGUGACGGUAACUACCCAGAAAGGGACGGCUAACUACGUG
RNAcentral lists this ribosomal RNA (497 nucleotides) under uncultured bacterium. RNAcentral's name for it is "partial 16S ribosomal RNA". It matches the Rfam family "Bacterial small subunit ribosomal RNA", at positions 28 to 507 of the family's 1533-position model. The record is from RNAcentral.